RNAcentral lists this ribosomal RNA (492 nucleotides) under uncultured bacterium. RNAcentral's name for it is "partial 16S ribosomal RNA". It matches the Rfam family "Bacterial small subunit ribosomal RNA", at positions 29 to 507 of the family's 1533-position model. The record is from RNAcentral.
AGUGAACGCUGGCGGUAGGCCUAACACAUGCAAGUCGAACGGCAGCACAGUAAGAGCUUGCUCUUACGGGUGGCGAGUGGCGGACGGGUGAGGAGUACAUCGGAAUCUACUUUUUCGUGGGGGAUAACGUAGGGAAACUUACGCUAAUACCGCAUACGACCUACGGGUGAAAGCAGGGGAUCUUCGGACCUUGCGCGAUUGAAUGAGCCGAUGUCGGAUUAGCUAGUUGGCGGGGUAAAGGCCCACCAAGGCGACGAUCCGUAGCUGGUCUGAGAGGAUGAUCAGCCACACUGGAGCUGAGACACGGUCCAGACUCCUACGGGAGGCAGCAGUGGGGAAUAUUGGACAAUGGGCGCAAGCCUGAUCCAGCCAUACCGCGUGGGUGAAGAAGGCCUUCGGGUUGUAAAGCCCUUUUGUUGGGAAAGAAAAGCAGCAGGUUAAUACCCCGCUGUUCUGACGGUACCCAAAGAAUAAGCACCGGCUAACUUCGUG